Molecule: ribosomal RNA, 460 nt
Filed under: uncultured bacterium
Lineage: Bacteria
Description: partial 16S ribosomal RNA
Rfam family: Bacterial small subunit ribosomal RNA
Source: RNAcentral
CCUACGGGUGGCUGCAGUGAGGAAUAUUGGUCAAUGGACGAGAGUCUGCACCAGCCAAGUAGCGUGCAGGAUGACUGCCCUAUGGGUUGUAAACUUCUUUUAUAUGGGGAUAAAACGUUCUACGUGUGGGAUUUUGUAUGUACCAUAUGAAUAAGGAUCGGCUAACUCCGUGCCAGCAGCCGCGGUAAUACGGAGGAUCCGAGCGUUAUCCGGAUUUAUUGGGUUUAAAGGGAGCGUAGGUGGAUUGUUAAGUCAGUUGUGAAAGUUUGCGGCUCAACCGGAAAAUUGCAGUUGAAACUGGCAGUCUUGAGUACAGUAGAGGUGGGCGGAAUUCGUGGUGUAGCGGUGAAAUGCUUAGAGAUGACGAAGAACUCCGAUUGCGAAGGCAGCUCACUGGACUGCAACUGACGCUGAGGCGCGAAAGUGUGGGUAUCAAACAGGAUUAGAUACCCGUGUAGUC